GACGAACGCUGGCGGCGUGCCUAAUACAUGCAAGUAGAACGCACAGUUUAUACCGUAGCUUGCUCCACCAUAGACUGUGAGUUGCGAACGGGUGAGUAACGCGUAGGUAACCUGCCUGGUAGCGGGGGAUAACUAUUGGAAACGAUAGCUAAUACCGCACAAUAUUAAUUAUUGCAUGAUAAUUGAUUGAAAGAUGCAACUGCAUCACUACCAGAUGGACCUGCGUUGUAUUAGCUAGUAGGUGAGGUAACGGCUCACCUAGGCGACGAUACAUAGCCGACCUGAGAGGGUGAUCGGCCACACUGGGACUGAGACACGGCCCAGACUCCUACGGGAGGCAGCAGUAGGGAAUCUUCGGCAAUGGACGAAAGUCUGACCGAGCAACGCCGCGUGAGUGAAGAAGGUUUUCGGAUCGUAAAGCUCUGUUGUAAGAGAAGAACGGGUGUGAGAGUGGAAAGUUCACACUGUGACGGUAUCUUACCAGAAAGGGACGGCUAACUACGUG
Molecule: ribosomal RNA, 505 nt
Filed under: uncultured bacterium
Lineage: Bacteria
Description: partial 16S ribosomal RNA
Rfam family: Bacterial small subunit ribosomal RNA
Source: RNAcentral